AAGAUCAUACUUCACAGGAUCAUUUCUGUAGUAGAUCUUCGCAUACUCUCUACUCAAAUGUAGAGUUAUCGCAACCAUGAUGACGAGACAUAGUUUCGGACUCUGAGCGUGAGGCAGGCAUUUUGCAAUAUAUUUUAUAUUUGCUUCAUUGUUAAACGAUGAUCGUUCACUUGAGUGUUGAGCAUUCAAGCUAUGGGUCCGAAACAGUCUGAGUGGC
Diorhabda carinulata is the source of this 217-nucleotide small nucleolar RNA. RefSeq annotates it as small nucleolar RNA U3. The transcript has a single exon. NCBI's taxonomy places the organism in Eukaryota, Metazoa, Arthropoda, Insecta, Coleoptera, Chrysomelidae. The record is from RefSeq and is a predicted model, not a curated record.